Molecule: long non-coding RNA, 503 nt
Filed under: Trifolium pratense (red clover)
Lineage: Eukaryota; Viridiplantae; Streptophyta; Magnoliopsida; Fabales; Fabaceae
Description: long non-coding RNA (TPRA_LNC010313)
Source: RNAcentral
AAAUAAUAUUAUUGCUACCUUAUUUCAUUUCAUUAACAUUACUAAGAUUACAAAUCCAUAAUGAUGAGGUUCUUGAAACUAGAAAAACAAAAGCAAAAAUAAAAUCAAAUUAUUGCAUGACAUUCAACAAGCAAAUUAUAACUCAUGAAAUAUUCAAGUACAACAUUUGUGGACUCUCUUCGUUUUGACACUAUUUAUCUGGAUAAAUUAUUGGAACACAUCUACAUACGAAAGCGACACACUUUGGUUUCGUACGAGCUUUGGGGCACGAAUCUUUUGGACAAUCAGCGUCUGUGUAACAUCUUGUUGCUGAAAAAAAAAAUAUUUAAAUAAAAUUGAAUAAAUAUUGUUAAUGAAGUAAAAUAGUAAAUUUGAAAGGGUAAAAAAAUAUCUUACCUUCAACGUUCUUUGCAACAAAAAUUAGGAAAAGAAAGAUAAUCAUAAAACAAACAAACUUAAUAAUUUCAGCCAUGUUUCUCUCAUUUGCAUGUAACAACAAAUGG